RNAcentral lists this ribosomal RNA (623 nucleotides) under uncultured bacterium. RNAcentral describes it as "bacterial SSU rRNA". It matches the Rfam family "Bacterial small subunit ribosomal RNA", at positions 338 to 955 of the family's 1533-position model. The record is from RNAcentral.
CCUACGGGAGGCAGCAGUGGGGAAUUUUGGACAAUGGGCGCAAGCCUGAUCCAGCCAUGCCGCGUGAGUGAAGAAGGCCUUCGGGUUGUAAAGCUCUUUCGGCAGGAACGAAAUGGUUCGUGUUAAUACCACGGACUGAUGACGGUACCUGAAGAAGAAGCACCGGCUAACUACGUGCCAGCAGCCGCGGUAAUACGUAGGGUGCAGGCGUUAAUCGGAAUUACUGGGCGUAAAGCGUGCGCAGGCGGUUUCUUAAGUCAGAUGUGAAAGCCCCGGGCUUAACCUGGGAACUGCGUUUGAAACUGGGAGACUUGAGUGUGGCAGAGGGGGGUGGAAUUCCACGUGUAGCAGUGAAAUGCGUAGAUAUGUGGAGGAACACCGAUGGCGAAGGCAGCCCCCUGGGUUAACACUGACGCUCAUGCACGAAAGCGUGGGGAGCAAACAGGAUUAGAUACCCUGGUAGUCCACGCCCUAAACUAUGUCAACUGGUUGUCGGGGGAUUGAUUCCCUUGGUAACGAAGCUAACGCGUGAAGUUGACCGCCUGGGGAGUACGGCCGCAAGGUUAAAACCUCAAAAGAGUAAGUAGCGNGNGAGAGCGACGACGACGACGACGGAGGAGGAG